UUGAAAGGGAAACGAUUGAAGUCAGUCGUACCAGCGGGAAAUCAACCUUUCGAGUGGGNUUUUGGAGUUUUGAAGAGUGUCAAAACCUUUGAGAUUUCAAAAUUUUCGCUCCUUUGGUGUACUUUCUCGUGGGUAGGUUAACAUCGAUUUCGAUCAUCAUAAAAGGAUUGGAGGAAUGUAGCUUCGAUCUUGUAUUGAAGUGUUAUAGCCUUUGGUAAGUGUGAUGAUUGGGAUCGAGGAUUGCAACGAAUACCCUUUUGGGCUAUCCGCCUGAUCUCUGAUACGUGGCCUUGGCAUCGAAAGCUUGCUUAUGGUAUCAAGGUAUUACGGUCAAAAGGUUAGAACGGAUUACAUUCGUUAAGGAUGUUGACGUA
This 374-nucleotide ribosomal RNA is filed under the name uncultured Glomeromycotina. RNAcentral describes it as "LSU rRNA". Lineage: Eukaryota; Fungi; Glomeromycota. The record is from RNAcentral.